GUCAUGCUCAGGAUGAACGCUAGCUACAGGCUUAACACAUGCAAGUCGAGGGGCAGCAUGAACUUAGCUUGCUAAGUUUGAUGGCGACCGGCGCACGGGUGAGUAACACGUAUCCAACCUGCCGAUGACUCGGGGAUAGCCUUUCGAAAGAAAGAUUAAUACCCGAUGGCAUAGUUCUUCCGCAUGGUAGAACUAUUAAAGAAUUUCGGUCAUCGAUGGGGAUGCGUUCCAUUAGG
RNAcentral lists this ribosomal RNA (236 nucleotides) under uncultured bacterium. RNAcentral's name for it is "partial 16S ribosomal RNA". It matches the Rfam family "Bacterial small subunit ribosomal RNA", at positions 17 to 245 of the family's 1533-position model. The record is from RNAcentral.